ACGGGCUGACAGCAAUUUUAGUUUUGGCGCGCAUUUGUCGUUUGUUUACGUUACCAGUUUGAGUGUUUAGUUCCCGCUUCAAAGUUUGGAGAACCAUCCGAAUCCGACUUGGAAACACCAACCCGAAGGUUCCGUUUAUCACUAUUCGUGGAAUAUCCAUACUCUUGACCAUGACGGGAACCAGUCAAGAUGUGUACUCCACUGGGAUGAAGACCAUCAAGUUCGGUUUUACGUGGACCAUGCACAAUUUCAGCCUUUGGGAGGCGAAUGUGGAGGGAGCACAAUUUUCGCCAAAAUUUCCACCUGGACCAGAUGAGCAGUAUCAAUGGACUUUGAAGUAUGUUCCCCAAUCGUUGAAUCACGACACGUCUUGUUCCCUAUAUGUGCAGAUGACUUCUCCGUUGAUAACGGAACCUAAAGUGUUAGCAUAUUUCGAAAUCAAUGCUACAGAUUCAAAAGGGCUUACUAUAGUUCAUAAAUGGUUUAAGGCAUGCUUUGGUCAAGGUGCAUAAAGUUGGGGCUGGCCGUAUUUUGUCGAGCGUAAUACAUUGCUUGAGAGGGUGAAACCAGCUGAUCAACUGAACAUAC
Molecule: long non-coding RNA, 588 nt
Organism: Culex quinquefasciatus (southern house mosquito)
Lineage: Eukaryota; Metazoa; Arthropoda; Insecta; Diptera; Culicidae
Exons: 3
Source: RefSeq, a predicted model, not a curated record